RNAcentral lists this ribosomal RNA (385 nucleotides) under uncultured bacterium. RNAcentral describes it as "bacterial SSU rRNA". It matches the Rfam family "Bacterial small subunit ribosomal RNA", at positions 367 to 765 of the family's 1533-position model. The record is from RNAcentral.
CUCCAACGAGCGCAACCCUGACGCAGCAACGCCGCGUGCAGGAAGAAGGUCUUCGGAUUGUAAACUGUUGUCGCAAGGGAAGAAGACAGUGACGGUACCUUGUGAGAAAGUCACGGCUAACUACGUGCCAGCAGCCGCGGUAAUACGUAGGUGACAAGCGUUGUCCGGAUUUACUGGGUGUAAAGGGCGCGUAGGCGGACUGUCAAGUCAGUCGUGAAAUACCGGGGCUUAACCCCGGGGCUGCGAUUGAAACUGACAGCCUUGAGUAUCGGAGAGGAAAGCGGAAUUCCUAGUGUAGCGGUGAAAUGCGUAGAUAUUAGGAGGAACACCAGUGGCGAAGGCGGCUUUCUGGACGACAACUGACGCUGAGGCGCGAAAGUGUGGG